UUGACCUCGGAUCAGGUAGGGAUACCCGCUGAACUUAAGCA
This 41-nucleotide ribosomal RNA is filed under the name Aspergillus flavus. RNAcentral describes it as "partial 28S ribosomal RNA". The record is from RNAcentral. RNAcentral also lists the same sequence under 82 other names. Lineage: Eukaryota; Fungi; Ascomycota; Eurotiomycetes; Eurotiales; Aspergillaceae.